Molecule: long non-coding RNA, 520 nt
Filed under: Homo sapiens (human)
Lineage: Eukaryota; Metazoa; Chordata; Mammalia; Primates; Hominidae
Description: LNC_000874
Source: RNAcentral
CCACAUGCAAAUUCCACGCCGAGCGCCGCGCUCACAAAUGAUUUUUAAAGAGCCAAAUAAACACUGGAUGGGAUCCAAGGCGAGAGAGAGACGAUCCAAAAGGGGGAGAAUCGGCGAGAGGCGAACGGCGGGGAGACGCGAGGGAGGGGCGAAGUCCCGCCGCCUUGUUUAUCUCCAGCCACCGACUCCCCCUCGGCCCCCGCCGGCGCGCGAGGGGAGGCGAGCCCCGGAGCCGCCGCCGCCGCCUCGGAGCCGCCGCCGCCGCGGAGCGCGAACUCGCGAAGGGGGGGGUGCGGACGAAGCCAGCGGGCGACCCCGGCAGCCGAGCGACGUCCCCUCCUUCCUCUUCCUCCCCCACCCCCCCCUCCUCCCCAGUCAGCCUCGCUUCUCCUCCCUCCCCGGGCUCGCUUGCUCUGACAGCAAUGGCGGCCGCCGACCGCGGCUCGGCCCGCCAUUGGCUGGCGCUUGGUCACGUGACGGGCGCCGGCCGCGCGGGGGGAGCGAGGGGCGGGCGGGGGAG